AGUCCUUUGGACCGUCGGGCUCGUCCGGGCGCAGUCGCAUCACCGGGAGCGGGCGGUGGGUUUGGGGUGUUGGCGUUGUUUCAUCUGUUUGCGGGUCUGGCAGGGGGCCGUUCCGAAAUCCCGGUGUUUUAAGUUCUGUCUAAGCACGUUCCCAGGUGUGGGACAUUCCCGGGUUCGUGUCCCCCCGCCCCAGGGACGGAGCGGUUCCCACCUGAGGAGCGCAGGUAGCAGAGCCCUGACUCCCAGCUGUUCUGUAUCCCCCUAUUCCCAUCCCCUCCGCCCCAAAAACCACCCCCAUUCCAGCCAAAAAGGCCGGAGAGCCGAGCCCCUGGGGAUUUUCCCCCUGGAGCCCGGCUCUGGCUGGGAGCCGGGGACACCUCCGUGGGCUCUGCGUCCUUGUGACAGUCCCGAGGUCAGCGCUGGAGCCCGGUCCGUAAAUCCUGCUGGGAACUGUGGGAGCAGGACGGGGAUCCGCGGGGGUCCUGCACCCCCCCGAGCCGCGUCCCUGCAGGUGUGCAGGGUCACUGAGCAGGACUCACAUCUGUGAGUGGCGGCUUCGGGCUGGGCAAGGGAGGAAGAGCAGUUGUGAGAAUACUUGGAAAAGCCUGCCAGGAAACAGGCCCUGUUCUUCCCCAGCUCGGUUGGAAGCCACAGUGGAUUGCACAGCCUUGGGAAUGAAACUCAUCUCGAGGAAUUGCCAUUCUGAGAGGUGCAGGAACUGUGUUUUGGCAGCAAACCGUGGCCUCGUGGAGGAGGAGGAGGAGCGGGGCUGGCUGGGCAGCACUGGGAGUGCUGGGCACCUCCUGCUCAUUCCCUUCCCUGCUGGGCCCAGGAAUGUGGAGCAGUGCUCAGCUGGAUCACAGAGGGGGUUUUAAUUGAAUUUCUUGUUAGAUUAUUUAUUUACUCCUUUGCACAGCAGCUCUCUGCAAGCCCCCAGUGCCCCUCGGGUGGUCCCUUCCAACAGGAGCGGUGCAGGUGGAGCUGGAGGGAGCUGGGCCUUUCCUUGGGGGGGCAGGGAUACACCUACCCAUGUGGGAAGUCCAAGGCAGCAACCCCCCUGUCUGCACUUUCCUCUCAGGAGGGGAUGGAGCAGUAAAUGUGUGAUGGAGGAGCCUCCUGACAUCGCUUAAUCUGGGAUGCCUUGAUGAUCUUGGAGCAGAACCUCGUCCCAAAGGGUGUAAGAAGGGAGAAGAAUUUGCUUUUCUGUUGCCUGCACAGUUUCUUGUGGGCUGCCUGGGUAUGUUGGUACACUGUGAUUCCAUGGGAGGGCUCUUCCCUUCUCCUCCUCCAGGCAUGGGAAGGAUCUCUGGUGACAGUGCAGGGGAGGUGUGUUACCCUUCAGAGAGUUGUGGUUCAUGAUCUGCCCAGUUUUUGGUGAGGGAAGGGAAGUAAAAGGCCCUCCUGGUGUUAAUUCCAUGUAGAUUUAGCAUUGGCAGGGGCUGCCCAGGGAGGUUUGGAGUGCCCAGCCCUGGAGGUGUCCCAGGAAGGCCUGGCCGUGGCACUCAGUGCUCUGGGCUGGGGGACAAGGUGGGGAUGGGGCACAGGGG
Manacus vitellinus (golden-collared manakin) is the source of this 1547-nucleotide long non-coding RNA. NCBI's taxonomy places the organism in Eukaryota, Metazoa, Chordata, Aves, Passeriformes, Pipridae. The record is from Ensembl.